Molecule: ribosomal RNA, 210 nt
Filed under: uncultured bacterium
Lineage: Bacteria
Description: partial 16S ribosomal RNA
Rfam family: Bacterial small subunit ribosomal RNA
Source: RNAcentral
UAGUGUAGGUGGUAAAGUAAGUCAGUUGUGAAAUCCUUCUGCUUAACAGAAGAAUUGCAAUUGAUACUACUUAACUAGAGUUCGGUAGAGGAGAGCGGAAUUCUCGGUGUAGCGGUGAAAUGCGUAGAUAUCGAGAAGAACACCAGUGGCGAAGGCGGCUCUCUGGCCUAGGACUGACGCUGAAGCGCGAAAGCGUGGGGGAGCGAAACG